Mya arenaria is the source of this 1324-nucleotide RNA transcript. RefSeq lists it as uncharacterized. The transcript has 6 exons. The record is from RefSeq and is a predicted model, not a curated record. Lineage: Eukaryota; Metazoa; Mollusca; Bivalvia; Myida; Myidae.
GUGGGCCUUAGUCGGAGGUGUCAAGGUCGAGUGUGUCGGUCGAGUGUGUCGAUUACGAAAUUCGCCAUAUUUUGUGUUUCGCACUCGAUGCCUCAUUUGACGGUCAACACCAGACAGAACCGUGAUGAAGCGUAAUGGCAGCCCAAAGAAGAUGCAGAGGACAGAACAGAUGUGUCAUAUAUCCAAACCUAACAACCUAAGUAUGGACAUUGCAAUUUGUGCAGGCAACUCGGAUGUUCACAAUGGUCCAGCCCAUUAUUAUGAGGACAUUGCCCCGAGUUCAAACAUUGGCAACUCUGAUGUUCACAAUGGUCCAGCCCAUUAUUAUUAGGACAUUGCCGUGAGUUCAAACAUUGGCAACUCGGAUGUUCACAAUGGUCCAGCCCAUUAUUAUGAGGACAUUGCCCCGAGUUCAAACAUUGGCAACUCUGAUGUUCACAAUGGUCCAGCUCAUUAUUAUGUGGACAUUGCCCCGAGUUCAAACAUUGGUAAGUUUGUGAUUGUGGACUCUUUAAUAGGUGUAAUAUGUAUAUAUUUACAUAGGAUAGCUUGGUGACAUUAGAAACUUUCUUGACCAUUUAUUGCAGAUAAGAUGUGGGCAUUUUCCCACACACAACCUUAAUUUAGCAUUGCAUUAUCACAUAUUUAUAUUUUUAUAGCAUUCACAAUUUAAUAUAGUACUUUAAAUGUAAAUAUAUAUAUAUUAUAAAUAUGUGAAAGUUCAUUUCAGGACCAUUGAUUCAAUCAUAAAUGCCCUAUGUCAAAUUGGCCAUUGACCCAAGAAGCACUAAUGAGGUUCAUGGGAAUUAUCAGUUAGAUGAGGACAGUUAUGAUCAUAUGAAUGUCAGAAAUAAUUUCAUUGCUUUUGUAUAAAAAUAAAACAUUAAAAUGAGCACAAUUGAACAUAUAUCCUUUCUUUGACUUAGAGACAUUCAACUUCACUCCGACUCAGGCACCUGGUAUGGUCCAAGAGACAUUGUUCAUGAAGUGUUUUUUUCAAUUAGUUAAUACAUAUAUUUAGAUCAAGGUCUUGCAUUCAAUUGUCAAAAAUAAAAAUAUAUCCUUGUGUGGGGAUUUUCUGAUUAUGACUUUGUCGUGAUAGAUAUGAUUUAAAAUAACUACUAAUAAUCUUUCUCAAGCAUUGCACAUCUAUGACAGAUUUCAGAUGCUGAAAACGUUAUGGUCACCAUUUCUUCUGUUCUCCAACAAUGCUGCUAUCACUUCUUUGUUCUCUAACCAGCUAUCGGCGGACGAUAUCAAGUCCCAAAUUAGUUUGAAAUUCAUAAUGUUUUAUGUAGCAUUUAUACAAAUAUUUUAUAUAUUU